UACGGGAGGCAGCAGUGGGGAAUUUUGGACAAUGGGGGAAACCCUGAUCCAGCAAUGCCGCGUGUGUGAAGAAGGCCUUCGGGUUGUAAAGCACUUUUGUCCGGAAAGAAAGCAUCCUGGCUAAUAUCUGGGGUGGAUGACGGUACCGGAAGAAUAAGCACCGGCUAACUACGUGCCAGCAGCCGCGGUAAUACGUAGGGUGCGAGCGUUAAUCGGAAUUACUGGGCGUAAAGCGUGCGCAGGCGGUUCGUUAAGACAGAUGUGAAAUCCCCGGGCUUAACCUGGGAACUGCAUUUGUGACUGGCGAGCUAGAGUAUGGCAGAGGGAGGUAGAAUUCCACGUGUAGCAGUGAAAUGCGUAGAGAUGUGGAGGAAUACCGAUGGCGAAGGCAGCCUCCUGGGCCAAUACUGACGCUCAUGCACGAAAGCGUGGGGAGCAAACAGGAUUAGAUACCCUGGUAGUCCACGCCCUAAACGAUGUCAACUAGUUGUUGGGGAUUCAUUUCCUUAGUAACGAAGCUAACGCGUGAAGUUGACCGCCUGGGGAGUACGGUCGCAAGAUUAAAACUCAAAGGAAUUGACGGGGACCCGCACAAGCGGUGGAUGAUGUGGAUUAAUUCGAUGCAACGCGAAAAACCUUACCUACCCUUGACAUGGUCGGAAUCCUGCUGAGAGGUGGGAGUGCUCGAAAGAGAACCGGCGCACAGGUGCUGCA
This 714-nucleotide ribosomal RNA is filed under the name Burkholderia sp. RNAcentral's name for it is "bacterial SSU rRNA". It matches the Rfam family "Bacterial small subunit ribosomal RNA", at positions 340 to 1045 of the family's 1533-position model. Lineage: Bacteria; Pseudomonadati; Pseudomonadota; Betaproteobacteria; Burkholderiales; Burkholderiaceae. The record is from RNAcentral.